Molecule: ribosomal RNA, 495 nt
Filed under: uncultured bacterium
Lineage: Bacteria
Description: partial 16S ribosomal RNA
Rfam family: Bacterial small subunit ribosomal RNA
Source: RNAcentral
GACGAACGCUGGCGGCGUGCCUAAUACAUGCAAGUAGAACGCUGAAGGAGGAGCUUGCUUCUCUGGAUGAGUUGCGAACGGGUGAGUAACGCGUAGGUAACCUGCCUGGUAGCGGGGGAUAACUAUUGGAAACGAUAGCUAAUACCGCAUAAGAGUAGAUGUCGCAUGACAUUUGCUUAAAAGGUGCAAUUGCAUCACUACCAGAUGGACCUGCGUUGUAUUAGCUAGUUGGUGAGGUAACGGCUCACCAAGGCAACGAUACAUAGCCGACCUGAGAGGGUGAUAGGCCACACUGGGACUGAGACACGGCCCAGACUCCUACGGGAGGCAGCAGUAGGGAAUCUUCGGCAAUGGACGGAAGUCUGACCGAGCAACGCCGCGUGAGUGAAGAAGGUUUUCGGAUCGUAAAGCUCUGUUGUAAGAGAAGAACGAGUGUGAGAGUGGAAAGUUCACACUGUGACGGUAUCUUACCAGAAAGGGACGGCUAACUACGUG